AGGGUUGGGAAGGUGAAAAGUAAGCCGAGUAGUUGCAUGGAGCGGGUAAGAGAUGCUCUAGGGGGUUAAUGUGGGGUGAAUGGUAGGGCCCUGUGCAAGCAGUGGCACAGCCCUUCGUAUAAAAUAAAUCUGUGAAACUGUUCCAGAGAAGAAAUUUGUAUUUUUGUUGUCACCGGCACUACCCAAUUGGUACCCACCGCAGACUGAUCUUCUCCGUUCAAUUCUGCAGAACAUUUUUUUUAAAAGCAUAGUGUUGCAGAGCAGAUGUAGUACAUACGUUUAUAGAGCAGUUAAAGUGUUUCUGCUGCUUUCAGAAUGGUACAUUUGUAUGCACCUUCUUCAAGGCUUCAGUCUUCCUGGCUGCAUGCACACCAUACAUUCAAAGCACAUAGAGAGCACUUGGCUCCCCCCCAAAAAUGCUGGGAAGUGUAAUGUACCUCUCACAGAGCUACAACUCCCAGCACCCAUAACAAACUACAGUGGUACCUCGGGUUAAGUACUUAAUUCGUUCCGGAGACCCGUUCUUAACCUGAAACUGUUCUUAACCUGAAGCACCACUUUAGCUAAUGGGGCCUCCUGCUGCUGCUGUGCCGCUGGAGCACGAUUUCUGUUCUCAUCCUGAAGCAAAGUUUUUAACCCGAGGCAAUAUUUCUGGCAUAUUAAAACAUAACCGCAUUUUAAAAGUUGACUGGAACAGAAAAGUCCUCAACAACAGCCCAAAAAGCAACUAAAUGGGAACAUGGUACCACUUUAUUUGUGUGGUUUAUGUGAACCAGGCCUUCAUUUAAUGUUUAAUCCAGGAAAGAAAUACAAGAAUAGUAUGGUACUCAACCUGUUUUGAAAAGUUUAUUAAAUACCAAAUAUUCUAAAUUAUAACAUUCUUAAAAACAUUAAUGUACAAUGUUUCAGAGGUAAAGCAAGAAAGAAGGUUGUUAUCAGAAAUGAUCGUUAUCGUAAAUGGCAUUAUGAUUUAAGCAAUAUGUUAUUGUUAUUAAGGCUCAUAAAGUGUAGAAAAUCAACCAAUUUUUUAAACAUUUAAUGUUUCUAGUCAAAGCUUCCAACACCAGUCCUGUUUAACUAGAUUAAUAGCAUCCUAUUCAGUAGAUGAUAGCUAAACUAUCCUUUUUAAAAAAUAAUCCAAGCAAAUAUUGUUAACACCCUGAAAUCAAUUCCAGCACAUGAGAACCCCUUGAAUAUUAAUCGUGACUUGAGCAAACAGACCCCUUAAAAAAAGCAAAAGUAUAUGUUGAUGAUAAGCAUCCUGCCCAAAAAUUCAUUUACUGUAUGUCUUGCAGAAUAUAAUCCAAGCAAUGUUUAGAAAUGAUUAAAUGAGAUAUUCCUCUACAGGUAAGAUUCUCAAUCUUAAUUUUACAUCUACACAGCAUCAAAGUAAUGUAAAAAGACAGAUUCUUAUAUCCCCAAUUUUUUAAGGCAGGUUAAGAAAAUUCUCACAUUCACUGCAUGCAUUCAUGACUCGAAAUAAAACUAGUUAGUUUUAACUACGAUUUGGGCUCGGCCCCUCCAAGUCAGAGACCAUUUUAAGGGACAAAAGCCUUCUGUGGCCACAAUGUAGCUGGAUGUUUCAGGCUAAUUCUGUUGUUCACUACAAUCAGCCUAAGAUCUUAAAUCUGCCGGUGUUCGAAUUAGUUGACUAAACAAUAACUUAAAACUGACGGCUCAUAUUUUGGGAUGGGAUGAGACAGCUCAGCGGCUAUCGCUUCAAGUUUCCCAGGCUUGUAAACCUGAUUGGUAAAUCACCAAUCCGAAAGCCACUUUGUGGCCAUGGUUACUUCAAAUGCAUCUACUGUAUCAAUUAGUCUUUUGUGGGCGAGCUUCGGAUAAUGAAAAAUGUCCAUCAUUAAAGAUCUCUCUCUGCUGGGAAUGCCCCGGAGGUAAAGGAGGAAUAUUACAAAGGUAGUUCUGUCAAGCUUCCGUUCAUUGCUGUGGAGCUUAUGUAGGAGAAAGGUAUUGGUAGAUUGUGCCCGCAGUUAAGAAAAUUAGAUUCUUCUGUAGAAGAGGAACGCAGGGCCAUGGCCCUUAUCCUGCAGCUCCACUGGCCACACAUAGCAGGCCAAGGCUACAAAAGUGAGGCUAGCUGGUAAGGCCCCAUUUUCUUCCUCCAUUUGAUUACUACGACAUGGAGGAAAACACCUGAGAGGGAGGCCUUCUAAGUACUGAAUCAUUUUGAAAAGGGGUAGACGGGACAUUUAAACUGCUUUGCAGAAUAAGGCCUUCAAAUGUAAGACGAAGCCAUGGAAUUCUGCUGCAUUAACAAGCCAUAGCGAGUCUUGGUCCUGAAGACAAUUCCUCCCCUUCUCCUCCUCUUGAAUGCUCCUGCUUCCGAUUUUAGCCAAAUCUAUUUCCUUAGACAUCGGAACUAGAGGAACUGCGCCUUCUUUAAACUAUGAUUAGUGAAAAGAAGCCAGAAUCAAACCCUGCUUUCAGAUCCUGGCUUGUUCUCACCACAGUUUAAACAAACCACGGUUCCUCAAGUUCAAAUAUCAAAGGAAACCGCAAUUAGUUUAAAAUCACAGUAUCCCCAUCUCCUUUUCUGGUU
Long non-coding RNA from Podarcis raffonei (Aeolian wall lizard), 2557 nucleotides. RefSeq lists it as uncharacterized. Lineage: Eukaryota; Metazoa; Chordata; Lepidosauria; Squamata; Lacertidae. The record is from RefSeq and is a predicted model, not a curated record. The transcript is spliced from 2 exons.